Anser brachyrhynchus (Pink-footed goose) is the source of this 1537-nucleotide long non-coding RNA. The record is from Ensembl. NCBI's taxonomy places the organism in Eukaryota, Metazoa, Chordata, Aves, Anseriformes, Anatidae.
AUGCGCUGGUGGGGCAGGUUUGGUGGUUUUAUGCUAGUUAAAAAUCUGAGAAUCAAAAAUAAUCCUGCUGUUUCAUGUUUUGGUAUUACUCGCCUGUAUUUACAUAUUUUCAUGUGUGUAAAAAAUACAUUCCUACAAACAGAUAAAGAACGCCGCUGUCUUUACGUUGGCCCUGCCUCUCUUUCUAGGCUGACUUGCCAGAGGUUGGCAGCUCUCAGGUGCUGGAGGCUUCAUCAGGCUGGCGGAGCCCCCACCGCCCCCCAGGGCAGCCCGUGCCAGUGUCAGACAGGAAAGGUUUCUCUUGGGCUUAAAUGGAACACCGUCUAUUGCAGUAUUUCAAAUACCAUUCCCGAAACGCAUUGCUCUGUAAUGUUGGCAGCGGUGCGCGGGACAGGCGGCAGCACCCCAAGGAGCACCGCCUGGCCUACCCCAUGGUGUACUGCGGGGUAUGGCUGGGCACCGCACACUCCGCUGGGAGUUCAUCUGCAGAGAAAAUGUGCCAGCCUCCCCGUGAGCCUUGCUGCGAGCCAGUGCUGAGCGCCAUCUGGAGAACUGAUGCCGAAGUCAAGCAACAACAUCCUGCCAUAUUUUAUCUGGAACUUAGCAACAGAACAACUAAUAACAUCUUAAACUUCAUUUGUCUGGGUCUCUGGUGCUCUUGGCAGAGGUCAUAACCAGUAGUGACUUUGCUGAUUUGCUGCAUCAAAACUAAUUAGGUUACAGUGCUCACUGACACAGCCUCUGAUAAUGGCAGCCUCUGGCUUUAACUUCGCUCAUUAUGUCAAAAUAAGCAUUACAACCCAUAAAAGUUGCACUUGUAUCAUGUUCCUAGGUGUAAGCUUUAACAUUAUUAAAGGUGCUUGUUCAGCAUGACCAACCCCCUUCCGUAACUUCAUUUUUUCCUUUCCUCCUUUAAGCAUAAUGUGGGUGAGAAGGGGGUUCAUGGCAUGAACAUUUGCCUGGCACUGCAGGCAAGGAUUUCCAAGUCUGGACUCUGCUUCUUGCCUUCUUUGUGGCAACAAGGCCAGCCGCAACUUGCUUGGUUGGGUCUGUAGCUGAAUGAACCGAAGCUGCCUGCCUACUGCUCCAGAGGAAAACGUGGUGUCGGUGACCUUUUUACCGUGCUUUUUGGAAAUCUAUUCUUUUACCAGACACUUUCAUAGUAUGUCUAAUUGAAUGAGUCACCUCUAAAAAUCUGAGUAAAAAGAAGAUAACGGUUACACAAGGUUAAAAUUAGGGCAAUGCUCGGGGUAAAAGCCAGGGCAAUUCUUAACGGUUCUUAGUACAAGUGAGAAAGCAGCAGGAAAGAAGAUUUCUGUCUGCACAGAGGGAAAAAAAACAGAAGUAAGGUUUAACAGUUUCCUGCUUAAAUGUUGUAAAACAAGUCAGCAGGGGGCUGUGGCAGUAGGCAGAAUUGUGCUUUCUCACAGCAGGAAAGUGGCGCUGCACUAGACGGGCUACAUUGCUUAUCACGAUGAGGCCAUCUUAAAGAGCUAGUACAGCUCUUAAACAUAUAACAUGCAGAAGAAUCAUGAUU